GAUUUUCCGGUUGAUCCUGCCGGAGGCUCUGCUAUCGGGGUCCGACUAAGCCAUGCGAGUUGAGAGGGUAAGCCCUCGGCAUAUUGCUCAGUAACACGCGGAUAACCUGCCCUUGGGUUCGGGAUAACCCCGGGAAACUGGGACUAAUACCGGAUAGAUCACAGAUACUGGAAUGUUCUAUGGUCAAAAACUCUGGUGCCCAAGGAUGGGUCUGCGGCCUAUCAGGUAGUAGUGGGUGUAACGUACCUACUAGCCUUCGACGGGUAAGGGUUGUGAGAGCAAGAGCCCUGAGAUGGAUUCUGAGACAUGAAUCCAGGCCCUACAGGGUGCAGCAGGCGCGAAAACUUUACAAUGCGGGAAACCGCGAUAAGGGGACCCCGAGUGCCAGCACCUAGUGCUGGCUGUCCAGCUGUCCAAAUAACAGUUGUUAGCAAGGGCCGGGCAAGACCGGUGCCAGCCGCCGCGGUAACACCGGCGGCCCGAGUGGUAGCCGUUAUUAUUGGGUUUAAAGGGUCCGUAGCCGGCCUAUUAAGUCCCUUGGGAAAUCUGGCGGCUCAAUCGUCAGGCGUCCAAGAGAUACUGGUAGGCUUGGGACCGGGAGAGGUGGGAGGCCUCCAGGGGUACGGGUGAAAUCUCGUAAUCCUUGGGGGACACCGAUGGCGAAG
Molecule: ribosomal RNA, 665 nt
Filed under: uncultured archaeon
Lineage: Archaea
Description: bacterial SSU rRNA
Rfam family: Archaeal small subunit ribosomal RNA
Source: RNAcentral